Molecule: unclassified non-coding RNA, 314 nt
Filed under: plant metagenome
Description: partial contains 5.8S ribosomal RNA, internal transcribed spacer 2, and large subunit ribosomal RNA
Rfam family: 5.8S ribosomal RNA (bases 1-104)
Source: RNAcentral
GAACUGCGAUAAGUAAUGUGAAUUGCAGAAUUCAGUGAAUCAUCGAGUCUUUGAACGCACAUUGCGCCCCCUGGCAUUCCGGGGGCAUGCCUGUCCGAGCGUCAUUGCUGCCCUUCAAGCCCGGCUUGUGUGUUGGGUCGUCGUCCCCUCCGGGGGACGGGCCCGAAAGGCAGCGGCGGCACCGCGUCCGGUCCUCGAGCGUAUGGGGCUUUGUCACCCGCUCGAUAAGGACCGGCCGGGCGCCAGCCGGCGUCUCCAACCUUUUUUUCUCAGGUUGACCUCGGAUCAGGUAGGGAUACCCGCUGAACUUAAGC